This 234-nucleotide ribosomal RNA is filed under the name Triticum aestivum (bread wheat). RNAcentral describes it as "partial small subunit ribosomal RNA". Lineage: Eukaryota; Viridiplantae; Streptophyta; Magnoliopsida; Poales; Poaceae. The record is from RNAcentral.
AUGGCGUUCCCUCCUUCCUACAUGGCUGUGCUCGGCAACUUCCCAAACACUUCCGUUCUCGUGUUCACCAUGGCCUAUCCCAUCGAGUGUUUCACCACAUGGUACCAAAGAACCCGUGGGACAGAAAGCAUCUAUUGGUGUCCGAGGAUGUCGUCGUCGCACCCUGCCAAUGCCACCACGCUCGCAUCACCGAUCGACCUACAACAAGGCUUCAACAGCUCCUACCUCCGUUAA